CAGAAAAUAGUUUAUUAAAAAUAUUAAUUUUGGAGAUUAAUGAUAAGAAAGUCUUUUUUCUGA
RNAcentral lists this transfer RNA (63 nucleotides) under Curculionidae sp. 1 AH-2016. Its description in RNAcentral is "tRNA-Pro". Lineage: Eukaryota; Metazoa; Arthropoda; Insecta; Coleoptera; Curculionidae. The record is from RNAcentral.